CGUGCUGUGAGCUCGAUGAGUAGGGCGGGACACGUGGUAUCCUGUCUGAAUAUGGGGGGACCAUCCUCCAAGGCUAAAUACUCCUGACUGACCGAUAGUGAACCAGUACCGUGAGGGAAAGGCGAAAAGAACCCCGGCGAGGGGAGUGAAACAGAACCUGAAACCGUGUACGUACAAGCAGUGGGAGCCCCACCACUAAGCCAGUGGUGAACUCCACAUACGCAUCCUUUGCUGAGGAUGCGGUUAACGGAGCGAAAGCGACGUUCAACCGCAAAAGAAGCAGAGGGGGCUUAGUGGUGGGGUGACUGCGUACCUUUUGUAUAAUGGGUCAGCGACUUAUAUUCUGUAGCAAGGUUAACCGCAUAGGGGAGCCGGAGGGAAACCGAGUCUUAACCGGGCGUUAAGUUGCAGGGUAUAGACCCGAAACCCGGUGAUCUAGCCAUGGGCAGGUUGAAGGUUGGGUAACACUAACUGGAGGACCGAACCGACUAAUGUUGAAAAAUUAGCGGAUGACCUGUGGCUGGGGGUGAAAGGCCAAUCAAACCGGGAGAUAGCUGGUUCUCCCCGAAAGCUAUUUAGGUAGCGCCUCGUGAAUUCAUCUCCGGGGGUAGAGCACUGUUUCGGCCAGGGGGCCAUCCCGGCUUACCAAUCCGAUGCAAACUGCGAAUACCGGAGAAUGUUAUCACGGGAGACACACGGCGGGUGCUAACGUCCGUCGUGAAGAGGGAAACAACCCAGACCGCCAGCUAAGGUCCCAAAGUCAUGGUUAAGUGGGAAACGAUGUGGGAAGGCCCAGACAGCCAGGAUGUUGGCUUAGAAGCAGCCAUCAUUUAAAGAAAGCGUAAUAGCUCACUGGUCGAGUCGGCCUGCGCGGAAGAUGUAACGGGGCUAAACCAU
This 897-nucleotide ribosomal RNA is filed under the name Salmonella enterica. Its description in RNAcentral is "partial 23S ribosomal RNA". It matches the Rfam family "Bacterial large subunit ribosomal RNA", at positions 393 to 1190 of the family's 2925-position model. The record is from RNAcentral. Lineage: Bacteria; Pseudomonadati; Pseudomonadota; Gammaproteobacteria; Enterobacterales; Enterobacteriaceae.